RNAcentral lists this ribosomal RNA (492 nucleotides) under uncultured bacterium. RNAcentral describes it as "partial 16S ribosomal RNA". It matches the Rfam family "Bacterial small subunit ribosomal RNA", at positions 28 to 507 of the family's 1533-position model. The record is from RNAcentral.
GAUGAACGCUAGCUACAGGCUUAACACAUGCAAGUCGAGGGGAAACGACAUCGAAAGCUUGCUUUUGAUGGGCGUCGACCGGCGCACGGGUGAGUAACGCGUAUCCAACCUGCCCAUCACUUGGGAAUAACCUUGCGAAAGUAAGACUAAUACCCAAUGAUAUCCCACGAAGGCAUCGGAAUGGGAUUAAAGAUUUAUCGGUGAUGGAUGGGGAUGCGUCUGAUUAGCUUGUUGGCGGGGUAACGGCCCACCAAGGCGACGAUCAGUAGGGGUUCUGAGAGGAAGGUCCCCCACAUUGGAACUGAGACACGGUCCAAACUCCUACGGGAGGCAGCAGUGAGGAAUAUUGGUCAAUGGGCGAGAGCCUGAACCAGCCAAGUAGCGUGCAGGAAGACGGCCCUAUGGGUUGUAAACUGCUUUUAUAAGGGAAUAAAGUGGGUCACGUGUGACUUUUUGCAUGUACCUUAUGAAUAAGAACCGGCUAAUUCCGUG